AGCUAUAUCUAUUAGUGUACUAUAUUGAGGCAGAAAAAAUUUUUAGCCUAUGCCCCCCUCUUGGUUCGUUUCUGAGUCCGCCAGUGCUGUGUUUGUAGAGAAGGAGUUCCUAGCCACCGGUUCCUGUUCGUGCACGUGAAAGAGAAAAUCGUCCAUGGACAUGGUAAGCACAUGUGCUACUACUAAUUAUAGCUAUGGGGCCUGCACUUUAUGGAGGCAUGCACGCUUGGUCAUUUUUUUUGUGCUUACUCUUGAGAAGGAAAUGGUGUGAGCAGUGGCCUGGUGACCACUCGGUGGUUUGCAUGCAUGUAUAUGUAAAACACUUUGAGAAAAUAAGGUAACUAUUGACUUUUGCUAUUUAUAGUAUAAGGUUCACUCAAGUAUAAGAAGAUAUAAAAUUGUUUUGAGGUGUAGCUUGUCUAUUUAGAAAGGAGAGUGGUGGACGUGCAUGAGUGGUAGACGUGCAUGAGUUGCUGCAUACUACUGCUUUUCUUAAACGUAUGGGGCCCGCAUGUACUAAGGAGGAGGCAGAGUUUCUGCCGUUGCCCGCUCUGAGUGCUUGGGGCUCGCGUGUCGUAGACAGGAAGGACAGGCCGCUCCCUCCAUGGGGCCCGUGUCAGGCUCCUGUGCCAUUGGCCUGUAGCCGUUGUGGGCUGUGGCCGUGCACACGAGACCGAGCUUGACCAGCUCGGGAUAAGGUCAGGUCUCCUUUCUUCCUCUCUCUCUAGAACAUGGAACAAAAUACUCUCUUAUUCUUCUUCCUAGGGAGCUCUCUCCAUUGCUAUACGAUCGAUCUUUAGUUCCCAUCGGGGAAGGGCUUUAGCUUCGCAUCCCGAGUUAGGACUAAGCUUCUAGAACUAGAGGCCUCUCUUUUAGUCCCGUUACAAGGCAGCGAAGCUAAAGCCCCGCCUUUAGUCCCGGUUGGUAUUACCAGCCGGGAUAAAGAGUACUGCCAGCGGUACCAUGCAGCAGCACCCUUCAGUCUCGGCUAGUAAUACCAACCAGGACCUUUUCUGGUUUUUUUUUUCUUUUCUUUUUCGUUUUGUUUUUAGUUUUGUUUAUUCAUUUAAUAGGUUUUCCAAUAUGUAUUCUUUGCUGCUAAUAUAUAUAUAUACAAGUGCUAUUCUACACCCAAGGUGUAGAAUACUAUUCUACACCAAACUGUUAUACUGAACAAAAUUCAGUAUUAUUCAGUACUCGUAUUUUAGUAUUGUUCAGUAUUUCGUGGUCCUGAGUGUACGACUCGAUGAUACUAAACGUUGUUCAGUAUUGGUCAAUAUUUUUUCUGCUCAGUUUUGACUUACGGUGUAGAAUAAUAUUCUAGCGUUGCCAUAUAUAUAUAUAUAUAUAUGGCAACGCUAGAAUAUUAUAUAUAUAUAUAUAUAUAUAUAUAUAUAUUAGCAGCAUAUGACUAAGCUUAUUUUAUGCAUAUAUAAUUGAAUUAUAUAUAUAUAUCCAAAUCUAUUACUGCACAAGUUGUACUCCGAAGUUAGUACUCUAAACCUAUUACAAGUUGUACUUCAUCAUCCAAAGAUCUACAGGGCAUACAAAUGAUUAUCGUUUUUUGGAAUCAUCAUCUCGUUAGGAUUAUAGUGGAACUCGCCGCUUGGAUUUAUGACUUGUUCACGAAGAAAUCCUGCUAUUGCGUCUUGUAUUGCUUGGAGUUGUUCAUAUUGCAUGAGUUUUUGCCUUAACUAUUCAGUCUUCAGUUUGAACUAAAAGAAUGUAUUAGUAAUAUCAAGAUUAUCAAUAGUUGUUGACACCGUUUUUGGGCACGUGUCUAGGAUGGCAGGAUAAGGUGGCAGUACGAUGUUUACAAAGCGGGUUGCCGAUGAGGAUGGUUGCCGAUGAGGGAGAAGUUGAAUGUGACAGGCAGUAAUAUGGUGCCGAUGGCUAGAUAAGAAAGUCUGCCGAUGACUAUGGCAAAGGAUCUGCCGAUGAUGCAAAGGAGGAGUCUGGAAGCUGCCGGUCGUUAUGUGGAGGAGUUUCGGUUUGUUACGAGGGAUAGUUUUGUUAUUUCCUUAAUUAUUUGCAUCGUUUUGUAUACGGAUUCCGUGUAAUUUGGAAUUCGAAUUCUAAUCGUGUCUGGUUGUAGCUCUUUGAGCAGGGUAUAAAUAUAGACCCUAGGGCCUUGUAAGAAGAAUCAAUCAGUCAAUCAAACAUACGUUUUUACUCAUAUUCCAGCAUCUACUUUUCGACGACUUCAUCAUACUUUUUUCCUUUUAUUACGAGUUCUUAGGAAUUCGUCGACUUAAGCUCGGCGUGUUCUCGAGUUCCGCGUGAGUACCUCUUAGCCGUGACAUCCGGGCGCAUCGCUGUUGUCAGGACUAAAGUAUUCGAGUUAUCACCUUUGCCGAUAGUAAGGUCAAAUCGGCUGGCACGCCUUAACGUUUGAAUCGGGUAUUAGCCCUUUGUGUUUGCAGAUCAGUUUUGCAUCAACACAUCUUUUGGCACGCCUGGUGGGACAGGAUUCAAGAUCAAGAUCAACAUGUCGAUCUCUGACCUCGAUCAAGAGAACGUCAUCCCCGUGACGGAGGCCAACCUCAAGGAUGAGCAGAAGCAAGCUAUUGCCCAAGCCAUGGA
This 2583-nucleotide long non-coding RNA is filed under the name Sorghum bicolor (sorghum). RNAcentral describes it as "long non-coding RNA (SBIC_LNC006975)". The record is from RNAcentral. Lineage: Eukaryota; Viridiplantae; Streptophyta; Magnoliopsida; Poales; Poaceae.